Molecule: long non-coding RNA, 748 nt
Organism: Gadus macrocephalus (Pacific cod)
Lineage: Eukaryota; Metazoa; Chordata; Actinopteri; Gadiformes; Gadidae
Exons: 2
Source: RefSeq, a predicted model, not a curated record
ACUCUGGUAAAGAGUUGGAAGCUGGACUUGAUGUCACCGAGAUGUUGCAUACCGUGUUGGCCCUGGCGUCAUCCUAAUGAUACUUUCCCCUUUUGCUCUGCCUCCUCUGUCCUGGGGGGAUGAAUACCAGAGCAAGUUGCCAUCCUUGGACUUGAAUUCCACCUCAGGUGUGUCUUCCCCAGGGGCCUCUUCGCCAGGUGCCCCCUCCCCAGGGGCCUCUUCCUCGCCAUCUGUUGACUGUUCGGUCUCAUGAUGGUCUGGAUCAAAAUCAGGAUCGUUGUCUUAUAUUUCUGAGACUUCCUCCUCUAUUUCUGGUUCAACUUCAAUCUCCUCUUCAUCAGUUUGAAAAAAAAGGUCAAGAGCCUCUCUGACAGAAAAUCAUCUGAUCGGGCGCUGACUCAUUGUCUUCAUGGUCAAAUAAGAGCGAUGCACAAGCAAGCUAUAUAUAGGGGAUCUGUGAGAAGAUAUCAUACAUUUUGUAUUGAAAGUGUGGUGGGGAUAGGUGCAUAAGCACGGGAAAGAGAGGACACCUAAUUGUUCAGUCUGAAAGGGGUUCAUGUGGGGUGGAGUGUGUGUGUGUGUGUGCGUGCGUGCCUGAACGUGUACGUGUGUGCGUGUGCAUGUAGGUGUGUGUGUGUGUGUGUGUGUGUGUGUGUGUGUGUGUGUGUGUGUGUGUGUGUGUGUGUGUGUGUGUGUGAAAGUGUGUGUGUGUGUGUGUGUGUGUGUGUGUGUGUGUGUGUGUGUGUGU